UACGUAGGGGGCAAGCGUUGUCCGGAUUCACUGGGUGUAAAGGGCGCGCAGGCGGGUUAGCAAGUCAGAGGUGAAAUCCUACAGCUUAACUGUAGAACUGCCUUUGAAACUGUUAAUCUUGAGUGCGGAAGAGAGAGACGGAAUUCCAGGUGUAGCGGUGAAAUGCGUAGAUAUCUGGAAGAACACCAGUUGCGAAGGCGGUCUCUUGGUCCGUUACUGACGCUCAGGCGCGAAAGCGUGGGGAGCAAAC
Molecule: ribosomal RNA, 250 nt
Filed under: uncultured bacterium
Lineage: Bacteria
Description: partial 16S ribosomal RNA
Rfam family: Bacterial small subunit ribosomal RNA
Source: RNAcentral